AGCUGGGCUUCAGACCCUGUGCAUUUAACCACAAGGCUGUAACUGCCUGCUUCUGGGGCUGCUCUUGGGGAAGAAAGAAUUCAAGAAAACCCACCAACCAACCCCCUACAUGUAACAGACUCUGCAAGGGUUAUAACAGAGGCAGGGCCUGGCAUGACUCAACCCAACCUGGUUGGAUGAAUGACACAUUGGCAGGUGGCAAAGCCCACAGAGGAUGGACCCUGAAGGAAGCUACAGAUCUUCGAGCCUUGUCACAACGUUGGGACUUGAGCCCACAGGUUAGGGGGGUUACAUGGGCAGGUCAUGCUCGCUGUGUGUGACCGUCACAGAGGAGCUCAAGAGCAAGCUUUUUGAACACAGAGAGCUUAAGAUGAAGACUCCUGUGCUUUUCCAGAGUGCCACGUGGUCACGUCAAGGCGGCCGGCUCCAUGGUCAUCAAGCCCAGGCCCACAUCCCAGCUCUCUGCACACCAACUCCUGGCCCAGGAGAGGAAGGGGCCUUACGGGCGACACUCAUGCUUUCUGGUGGUUGAGAUUGGGAAGGAGCCAACGCCACAGCAGUGACUUGGGUCUGAGCUGCCACAUGCUGACCCAGCUCUGACUCCCUCUGGGAACCACUCAGCCUGAGGCCAACAGAACCAGAGCCAGAACAGAGGGACCCAGCUCCGUGAAACACCUACUCCCCAGGGUGGAACCAGAAGCUCACCCCAGGGCAUCCCUAUAAGAAUGACGGUGUGAGGCCCACAUUUCCUCAGGACGUCAGUGGUGGGCGGGCUUCACACGCCUUUCUGCUUCACAACUGCCCUUCGAAGGAUGGAUCAUUAGCUGCUUUUCUUUUCUUUUUUAAAAUCUUAUUUUAUUCUGUGGCCGCACUGGUGACACACUGAAGUUCCCAGGGCAGGGACUGAAGCCAAGCUGCAGCUGCGACCUAUGCCAGAUCCUUUAACCCACUGCGCCUAGCUGAAGAUUGAACCCGCGCCUCUGCAGCAAUCUGAGCUACUGCAGUCAGAUUCUUAACCCACCAUGCCAGAGCAGAAACUCCAACUUUUGGCGUUCCCAUCGUGGCUCAGUGCUUAACGAACCCAACUAGUAUCCAUGAGGACGUGGGUUCGGUCCCUGGCCUUGCUCAGUGGCUUAAUGAUCCGGUGUUGCCAUGAGCUAUGGGGUAGGUCACAGAAGCAGCCCAGAUGCAGCAUGGCUGUGGCUGUGCUGCAGGCUGGCAGCUACAGCUCUGACUUGACCCCUAGCCUGGGAACUUUCAUAUGCCGCUGCUGUGGCUCUAAAUAGACAAACAACAACAAUGACAACAAAACUCCAACUUUUAUUUACUUUCACUUACCUUCUUUGAAAAAAUUGCAGUUAGAUGUUAAGGCUCAAAGCGGUCACUGGCUUAGGAUUACUCUUAUGGACUGAACUAUGUCCCCCUGCCGCCCCGGCAAAUUCACAUGCUAAAGCACCCCCCCACCAUCCGCCAGUGUGACUGUGUUUGGAGACAGGGUCUUUAAAGAAGUAAUUAAGGGUGGGACCCUAAUCCAGUAGGGCUGGUGACCUUAUAAGAACAGGGGAUGACACCAGACAUGUGUACACAGGAGAGGCCACUGAGGAUUGGGAGAAGGCGGCCGUCUCUAAGUCAAGGAGAGAGGCCUCAGGAGAGACAAAACCUGCCGCCACCUCGAUUUUGGACCUGCAGCCUCUAGAACUGUGGGAAAAUUAAUUUCUGUUGUCUAAACCAAUCUGUCUGUGGUAUUUCAUUAUGGCAGCCUGAGCUGACCUGAGCUAAGAGUGACAUAGUUAAGCAGUGCCCUGGUGUGAAUGUACACACCUGGGGCCAACAGGAUUAACUUCGGUCUUUGUUUCAAUGAUCUCAGGCUGGCCUUCAGAUUUUGGAUGCCAAUCUUAUUAGCUAUAGCUAUAUAAUAAAGAAUCUGAUUGGCUUCUGUCUCUGGUUCCU
Molecule: long non-coding RNA, 1950 nt
Filed under: Sus scrofa (pig)
Lineage: Eukaryota; Metazoa; Chordata; Mammalia; Artiodactyla; Suidae
Description: lncRNA (ENSSSCG00060028451.1)
Source: RNAcentral